UACGAAGGUGGCAAGCGUUAUUCGGAUUUACUGGGCGUACAGGGAGCGUAGGCGGUUCGGUAAGCCCUUUGUGAAAUCUUCAGGCUUAACCUGGAACAGUCGGAGGGGACUGCCGGGCUAGAGGACGGGAGAGGAGCGCGGAAUUCCCGGUGUAGCGGUGAAAUGCGUAGAGAUCGGGAGGAAGGCCGGUGGCGAAGGCGGCGCUCUGGAACGUUUCUGACGCUGAGGCUCGAAAGCGUGGGGAGCAAACAGG
RNAcentral lists this ribosomal RNA (253 nucleotides) under uncultured bacterium. RNAcentral describes it as "partial 16S ribosomal RNA". It matches the Rfam family "Bacterial small subunit ribosomal RNA", at positions 524 to 776 of the family's 1533-position model. The record is from RNAcentral.